Molecule: long non-coding RNA, 323 nt
Organism: Vespula pensylvanica (western yellowjacket)
Lineage: Eukaryota; Metazoa; Arthropoda; Insecta; Hymenoptera; Vespidae
Exons: 2
Source: RefSeq, a predicted model, not a curated record
AGGAUAUCUAAAGAAAAAUCCUGAAUUUUCAUCAUCAGUUUUAUAUCAUCGAUGACUUGAUUCCACAGUGAUACAUAUAAGAUGAAUUUGAUUACAGUCGAAUAGAAUUGAUAUUUUCUCCAUAAAUUUAUACACUCGUUCUUCGAUGAAGCAGUAUUCUUUUACCGAAACUUCCUUUAGUAGUUUGCGGUCAGAAUAUAUUUUUCUUUCUUCUGUGUAUGCUUUCUAUUUCAAAUUAUCUUAUUUUAUUUUUGCAGUAUUGGUAUCUCUUUCACUUUUUAACAAUGUAUCAAUUAAUAAUAUGCCAUUAAUUGUACUUCAUA